Molecule: ribosomal RNA, 94 nt
Filed under: Pseudodiaptomus poplesia
Lineage: Eukaryota; Metazoa; Arthropoda; Copepoda; Calanoida; Pseudodiaptomidae
Source: RNAcentral
ACCCAGUCUCGUCCGAUCCAGGAAGUCAAGCAACAUUGGGUCAAGUUAGUACUUGGAUGGGUGACCGCCUGGGAAUACUUGAUGCUGUAGAUAA